Molecule: ribosomal RNA, 439 nt
Filed under: uncultured bacterium
Lineage: Bacteria
Description: partial 16S ribosomal RNA
Rfam family: Bacterial small subunit ribosomal RNA
Source: RNAcentral
CCUACGGGGGGCUGCAGUGGGGAAUAUUGCACAAUGGGCGAAAGCCUGAUGCAGCAACGCCGCGUGAGCGAUGAAGGCCUUCGGGUCGGAAAGCUCUGUCCUCAAGGAAGAUAAUGACGGUACUUGCGGACGAAGCCCCGGCCAACUACGUGCCAGCAGCCGCGGUAAUACGUAGGGGGCUAGCGUUAUCCGGAAUUACUGGGGGUAAAGGGUGUGUAGGUGGGUUAUUAAGUCAGAGGUAAAAGGCUACGGCUAAACCGUAGUAAGCCUUUGAAACUGGGAAUCUUGAGUGCAGGAGAGGCGAGUGGAAUUCCUAGUGUAGCGGUGAAAUGCGUAGAUAUUAGGAGGAACACCAGUGGCGAAGGCGGCUCUCUGGACUGUAACUGACACUGAGGCACGAAAGCGUGGGGAGCAAACAGGAUUAGAUACCCGUGUAGUC